UGGCUCAGAACGAACGCUGGCGGCGCGUUUAAGCAUGCAAGUCGAGCGGCAAGGGCCUUCGGGCCCCUAGAGCGGCGGACGGGUGAGUAACACGUGGACAAUCUGCCCCCCGGCCCGGGAUAGCCCAGGGAAACCUGGAUUAAUACCGGAUGAGACGGGACCCGCGAUGGCGGGACCCGGGAAAGGCGCUGCGGCGCCGCCGGGGGAUGAGUCUGCGUCCCAUUAGCUAGACGGCGGGGUAACGGCCCACCGUGGCGACGAUGGGUAGCCGGCCUGAGAGGGUGGACGGCCACAUUGGAACUGAGACACGGUCCAGACUCCUACGGGAGGCAGCAGCUAAGAAUCUUCCGCAAUGGGCGAAAGCCUGACGGAGCCGACGCCGCGUGAACGAAGAAGGCCGUGAGGUUGUAAAGUUCUUUUCGGGAGGGGGAACAACCGUGGCAGGGAAUGGCCGCGGGAUGACGUGAAUCCCGGAAUAAGCCCCGGCUAACUACGUGCCAGCCGCUGC
Molecule: ribosomal RNA, 508 nt
Filed under: uncultured bacterium
Lineage: Bacteria
Description: bacterial SSU rRNA
Rfam family: Bacterial small subunit ribosomal RNA
Source: RNAcentral